CAUUAUGUGUUCAUAUUUCCUUGGUCUUUCUCCCAGAUGUUGAAUAAUUGGUUCAAUUGAGAUGGUGAAAUUCUCGAUUUACAUUUAUUCUUUACCCCAGAUCAACGUGUAUAUAUUGAUCACUAGUUACUAAAUGGAAGCUCUGGCCAAGGGACAACAAGGUUUGGAUGGGGGCUUAUGGAUAAUAAACAAUUUAAGAAGGAAAACACCUACAGUUCAUAUUGAUAAAACAUUCUGUAUAAUUGCCUUUGAAUAUUCUGUUUAGAACACUAAUGAGAGUAACCUCAUUAGCUAUUAAUUUGGAAGCACAAUUUGGCACCCAAUAUUCUGUGGCAGGUUGGCGUGCUCCGUUGGCUUUGCCCUUAUUUGUUGGGAAAGGCUCUUGCCUCCUGUGCACUGUGGCAUAUCCUAUGAACCACACUACCCGGCAGCCAAAGGGUGAUCAAUUUGGACCAAAGUUGUGAUUUUUGAGUGUCUAAAUGGUACCUGAUAAAAAGCCAUUGGGGUCAGGUGGUGGCUAUGGGGUGAGCGAAGGGUGUGGGCCUGCGUUAGUAAGUUACCACUAGGUGGCAGGCCAGGUAGGCAUCAGACAGAGGGGGUGUCCCCUGGUGGAGACUAGAUAGAGGGCUGUCUGCAAAGUCUACUCCCUCGAUAUGGCAGGAACUCUGCACCAGUGUGUGUGUGUGUGUGUGUGUGUGUGUGUGUGUGUGUGUGUGUGUGUGUCUAUUGCAAGGGGAAAGGCGAAUGGAAGAAUGAGUGCCCAAACCCCAAACAAAAAGAGGUCCCUAGCAUAGCUGCAAUGAAACUGAAGCCCCCACGAGGGCUGAGGCUGUCACCUGGGAGACAGGUCAGACCGAGCACCGCCAGGUUCGGUCACAAUUGGCCCUAGGAGCCCAUCGUCAAAAUAGAUGCUGGGCCCAAGCAAAGAUGGACUUCAUCUUUGACACAGGAGCAGCCAUCUCCAUGGUAACCCCUCCCACAGGGAAGCUCACCAAAGACGCAUCGACAUUGUUGGAGCCUCCAGGCCAGUAGAUGGUGCAUGGACUAGGAGAAAGCCAAUUACUGUCAGUCCUUCAGCCAUCACAGAGAAACGCAGCGGCACUGAGCCCUGUCCCAGGAAAUUUGCAACAAUUGGCAUGCAUAGCAUAUGGAUGAGUCCCCUGGAAGGAACAUCACUGUGGGGGAAAAUACCGGUCCUUCUUAAGAAGCUGUGACCGUGUGGACUUAACUUUGCCAGGGGCAUAGGACAGUGCACCCGCGGAAGGACAAGGGGUCUCCUUGUCAGGGACUAGCCCGGAAGCGGGACAAGAGAUACUCUGAAACUAAAGAUAACAAAGUUAGAACAGGGGUGGUCCUGGUAUCUUUGGGUUGGGAUGUGUGAAGGCAGGGAUGAAACAGACGGAUGGACCCUCAAAUGGUUAGAGCUUCCGCCAGUGCCUCUAUGCCUGAGAGCGAGGUCAAUUGGCUCCACCCAUGAGCCUCUGCUCCAUCCUGAGAAAAAACCAGAUUUAUCCAGAUUUGACUCUGGCGCCCUCUAGUGAAAACGCUUCAACUUGCAAGUGGCUUGGUGGAGUUAGAACUGGGAAAACGGUUGGUUGCUAGAUCUGUGUGAAGACCAGCCAGGCAACUUAACCCGUGCUGGGGUCACUAGCCCAACUCUAGAAAGCCAAACAGUCUUGGACAGCCCUGCUGACUCCCGCCUGACGGGUCCACAUGUCCAGGCAGGGGAAGCAGGGGAAAGCUGCACCUUGGUGACUUGAACCAAGGCCUAAAUGGCACAUGCUUCGAUUGUGCAGAUGGAACCUGUUACCCAGUGGGGGAUGGCAGGAUGGUAUUCCUGACUCCAGACCUAGAUAUUCUCCUUGUACCAGAGGUAGACCAAUAUUAAGGCCCUCAUCACCGGAAAGAGAGGAAUCCCAUCUUACUCUCAACGUUAUUGGAGAUGCCCCUCAAUGGCGCUGCUGUCACAGGAGCAACUAAGCUCAGGAUCCAACAGGUCGGGCAUAGCCAGCUGUCCAAUCAAAUCGAAGAGGGCCUCAGGCUAGGCCAGCAGAGUUACAGUCGCCUUGCAGAACUAGACAGAAGCCUUACGAAAUCAUAGCUGAAAGGUGACAUAGGUGUGUCUUCAGAGGAAAAGAUUGCUGUUUCUGCACAAACCACUUAGGGAUCGUAGAGAAAAUACCACAUGGCUGGUGGAAAGCAAGGUCGGAGACUCGACAAAAGGACCUUCCUGGGGUGGUGACACCUGGACCUCCGGGAGCCCAUGGCUGCUUCUGCCUCGCCCCUGGGUAUGAUCCUCCUGGCUGUCCUGUUGGGUCCAUGCCUAACUUUUGUCACCAGAAACAGGAGAGCAACAGAUAGACUCCAUGCCCUCCACCGGCAUCAGAGGUGCCUUGAGAAGGGUCACAAGGGAUUCUGACAAAGGAGAGGAGAGAAUGGGGUGGAGAGUCCUCAAACUGCCAUGUGUUAAAACAACGGAAAUUCCCCAGGGCUCGAGUUCCACUGAGAUGUCCCCUCCUGCUUGUGGUUAUCUCCAGAAACAGAAGGCACGGAGGAGGUGUGAUGCUUCGUGCACCAUUUCAAGAUUCGAGGCAAACUUGGAGGUCUGGCUUUGUGGGAGUGAGGAAUAUAAUAAACCUAUGAGCUUUGGGGGUUGUCUCACACCACGGUGUGGUCUCUUGUGACUAGGGAUCACUGGGAAAUACUGAGUGAAGACAUGGAGACCCCUGUACCCCUUUCUUUCUGUCGUGGUUUCCACUGAAGCAGACACACAUCAUGUUUAAACAAAUGGGCACACCUGUGUUCCAAUAAAUCUUAUCAACAAAACUUGGCAGCAAGUGUGGCUUGUACUGUAGUUGGCUAAUCUUCGCUCUAGACUAAUACUUU
Molecule: long non-coding RNA, 2886 nt
Organism: Mus musculus (house mouse)
Lineage: Eukaryota; Metazoa; Chordata; Mammalia; Rodentia; Muridae
Product: predicted gene, 35400
Exons: 3
Source: RefSeq, a predicted model, not a curated record